ACACAUGCAGUCGAGCGGAUGAAGGAGCUUGCUCCUGGAUUCAGCGGCGGACGGGUGAGUAAUGCCUAGGAAUCUGCCUGGUAGUGGGGGACAACGUUUCGAAAGGAACGCUAAUACCGCAUACGUCCUACGGGAGAAAGCAGGGGACCUUCGGGCCUUGCGCUAUCAGAUGAGCCUAGGUCGGAUUAGCUAGUCGGUGAGGUAAUGGCUCACCAAGGCGACGAUCCGUAACUGGUCUGAGAGGAUGAUCAGUCACACUGGAACUGAGACACGGUCCAGACUCCUACGGGAGGCAGCAGUGGGGAAUAUCGGACAAUGGGCGAAAGCCUGAUCCAGCCAUGCCGCGUGUGUGAAGAAGGUCUUCGGAUUGUAAAGCACUUUAAGUUGGGAGGAAGGGUUGUAGAUUAAUACUCUGCAAUUUUGACGUUACCGACAGAAUAAGCACCGGCUAACUCUGUGCCAGCAGCCGCGGUAAUACAGAGGGUGCAAGCGUUAAUCGGAAUUACUGGGCGUAAAGCGCGCGUAGGUGGUUUGUUAAGUUGGAUGUGAAAUCCCCGGGCUCAACCUGGGAACUGCAUCCAAAACUGGUAAGCUAGAGUAUGGUAGAGGGUGGUGGAAUUUCCUGUGUAGCGGUGAAAUGCGUAGAUAUAGGAAGGAACACCAGUGACGAAAGCGACCACCUGGACUGAUACUGACACUGAGGUGCGAAAGCGUGGGGAGCAAACAGGA
This 729-nucleotide ribosomal RNA is filed under the name uncultured bacterium. RNAcentral describes it as "bacterial SSU rRNA". It matches the Rfam family "Bacterial small subunit ribosomal RNA", at positions 51 to 777 of the family's 1533-position model. The record is from RNAcentral.